RNAcentral lists this long non-coding RNA (952 nucleotides) under Gossypium barbadense (sea-island cotton). Its description in RNAcentral is "long non-coding RNA (GBAR_LNC009625)". The record is from RNAcentral. Lineage: Eukaryota; Viridiplantae; Streptophyta; Magnoliopsida; Malvales; Malvaceae.
UCAAUUCUCUCAACCCUUCCCCUCCUCCGGUCAUCGGACCGGCCAUCAACCGUCACGCCGAUCACCGGCCACCGACGGCGGCGCCGCCGUCCACGGUGGCCGGAAAAUCUUCCGAGGCCUUUUUUCGCUUCUCUUCUCGAGUAGAGCCCGGAUUUGGGGUUAAAACGACCCAAAAACCUUCAAAAAUUAAUGAGAAGCACCCUAGAACUCAAGAAUCCAUUCGGUUUCCGGCCACUGAUUUUCGGCGGUGGCUUCCUCGGUCAUCCACGAUGUUGGAAAACUGAACACCGGUAAGUUCCUUCCCUCUUUCCUUUUUUUAUAUUUUUUGUAAGUUUUUUUUUGUUAAAAAUAUUUGUAAAAUAGAUAAAACGAACAAAUAGAAAGAAGAUAAAAAAUAAAUAAAUAAAAAUAAGGACAAACACCUUUUGAACUUGUUUUCUCCUUUUGAUUUCUCCCAAAAACCUCUGUAAUACAACCCUCUCUAAUACAAUCUCUUCUCUCCAAAAUACCAUCCAUUCCCCCCCCUUCUGGCACAAGGAACAUAGGGCUUUUAUAUAGCCCAAAAUCCAAAGAAAAAAAUACAAAGAAUUUUAUUUUUUGGUGUUUUUCUUUACUGUCCUUUUUUUUGUCUUGUUUUGCAGGUAUAGAGUGGUGGAGACAAGUGGGUGUGCUGGUGGCAGACAACUGGUAGUGGCGUAGGUGGCCAAGGUGGGGUGACGGCUAGGGUUCAUCACCACUUUUCUUUGCUGAAAAUUGCUUAGGUUUGGGUAAUUCUAAUUUGGGUUGGUUUUGGGUAUUGGGUUUGGGUAGGUUUAGUUAUUGUAAUUGGGUAGUUUUGAUUUUUGGGCUGUUUAACAUUGUAAAUGGACUUGGAAUUUAGUUGUGCGGAUUUUUUUUUUCUUGUUUGCUUGGGCCAAAAAUUGGCCAUUACAAAUGAAAAAGUCAUUUUGAU